RNAcentral lists this long non-coding RNA (313 nucleotides) under Chrysolophus pictus (golden pheasant). Its description in RNAcentral is "lncRNA (ENSCPIG00010005912.1)". Lineage: Eukaryota; Metazoa; Chordata; Aves; Galliformes; Phasianidae. The record is from RNAcentral.
AAAGAAGGUUGUAUAAUUAGUUCUCUAUAAAAUGUAGAUUAACCUUAAACACCAAAUCUUUUUCUGUUGUUUUUUUUUUUUUUUUUAAACUCUGCACUCAGGAAGAUCUGUUAACAAGCUUAGCACAGAACCACUGAGAAUCAUUCAUGAGACAUUGGAAGAAUCCACUGAUUGGCUUUAUGGCUUUAUUUCUUUACUGUCUGACAUCAUAUGGAGUGACGAUGAUGACAGUGAUGAAGGUGAAGUGGAAUCUUCCGUGAUAAAAGAAAUUCAUAAAGAGAAAACAGAGAGAUAUGAAAAACGAACAACACCG